Molecule: microRNA, 21 nt
Filed under: Bombyx mori (domestic silkworm)
Lineage: Eukaryota; Metazoa; Arthropoda; Insecta; Lepidoptera; Bombycidae
Description: bmo-miR-3392
Source: miRBase by way of RNAcentral
CGAGUCAGUCGAUUUCUUCGA